Molecule: long non-coding RNA, 109 nt
Organism: Haliotis rubra (blacklip abalone)
Lineage: Eukaryota; Metazoa; Mollusca; Gastropoda; Lepetellida; Haliotidae
Exons: 3
Source: RefSeq, a predicted model, not a curated record
AGUCAGUAUAAUGUCUGUGUGUUGUGUCUGAAUGGGGUAUGCAUGUUAAACUGCAGCAUGGUAUCUCACUGGCAUGGUCAUGACUAGCAUAAACAGCCAUACAUAACCA